RNAcentral lists this non-coding RNA (24 nucleotides) under Arabidopsis thaliana (thale cress). Lineage: Eukaryota; Viridiplantae; Streptophyta; Magnoliopsida; Brassicales; Brassicaceae. The record is from RNAcentral.
AUGCAAUAUGUGCCCUACCUUCUA